Molecule: ribosomal RNA, 439 nt
Filed under: uncultured bacterium
Lineage: Bacteria
Description: bacterial SSU rRNA
Rfam family: Bacterial small subunit ribosomal RNA
Source: RNAcentral
GCAGUGGGGAAUAUUGGACAAUGGGCGAAAGCCUGAUCCAGCCAUGCCGCGUGUGUGAAGAAGGUCUUCGGAUUGUAAAGCACUUUAAGUUGGGAGGAAGGGCAGUUACCUAAUACGUGAUUGUUUUGACGUUACCGACAGAAUAAGCACCGGCUAACUCUGUGCCAGCAGCCGCGGUAAUACAGAGGGUGCAAGCGUUAAUCGGAAUUACUGGGCGUAAAGCGCGCGUAGGUGGUUUGUUAAGUUGGAUGUGAAAUCCCCGGGCUCAACCUGGGAACUGCAUUCAAAACUGACUGACUAGAGUAUGGUAGAGGGUGGUGGAAUUUCCUGUGUAGCGGUGAAAUGCGUAGAUAUAGGAAGGAACACCAGUGGCGAAGGCGACCACCUGGACUAAUACUGACACUGAGGUGCGAAAGCGUGGGGAGCAAACAGGAUUAGA